RNAcentral lists this unclassified non-coding RNA (234 nucleotides) under plant metagenome. RNAcentral's name for it is "partial contains small subunit ribosomal RNA, internal transcribed spacer 1, and 5.8S ribosomal RNA". The record is from RNAcentral.
UUUCCGUAGGUGAACCUGCGGAAGGAUCAUUAAUGUGUUUUGGCCUCACGGCUCUACAUUCCGACGCUGUGCGCCUUCGGGCUGCACGCUGAGGGAUCAUAUAGCCACCCCUGUGCACACACACGGUGGCGAGCUGGAUAACGGCUCGCCGCUGAUCUUUACACACGUCUAAAAGUCAUUGUAUGUUUAUUUGAAAUAAAAACACAACUUUCAGCAACGGAUCUCUUGGCUCUC